GAGCACUCUGACAGCCAUGCCGCGUGCAGGAUGACUGCCCUAUGGGUUGUAAACUGCUUUUAUACAGGAAGAAACCGAUGUACGAGUACAUCCUUGACGGUACUGUAAGAAUAAGGACCGGCUAACUCCGUGCCAGCAGCCGCGGUAAUACGGAGGGUCCAAGCGUUAUCCGGAAUCAUUGGGUUUAAAGGGUCCGCAGGCGGUUAAUUAAGUCAGAGGUGAAAUCCCAUAGCUUAACUAUGGAACUGCCUUUGAUACUGGUUGACUUGAGUUAUACGGAAGUAGAUAGAAUAAGUAGUGUAGCGGUGAAAUGCAUAGAUAUUACUUAGAAUACCGAUUGCGAAGGCAGAAC
This 352-nucleotide ribosomal RNA is filed under the name uncultured Tenacibaculum sp. RNAcentral's name for it is "bacterial SSU rRNA". It matches the Rfam family "Bacterial small subunit ribosomal RNA", at positions 376 to 727 of the family's 1533-position model. Lineage: Bacteria; Pseudomonadati; Bacteroidota; Flavobacteriia; Flavobacteriales; Flavobacteriaceae. The record is from RNAcentral.